This 115-nucleotide ribosomal RNA is filed under the name Salvator merianae (Argentine black and white tegu). The record is from RNAcentral. Lineage: Eukaryota; Metazoa; Chordata; Lepidosauria; Squamata; Teiidae.
AGUUGCCCUANCUAGCAGGCAGGCCGCCUUUAACUGACCUGGGAAGCUAAGCUGGCCGAGGGCGGGUCAGAAUUUGGAUGGGAGACCACCCAGAAAGAGCAGGCGGCAGAGACUA